Molecule: long non-coding RNA, 1006 nt
Filed under: Prunus persica (peach)
Lineage: Eukaryota; Viridiplantae; Streptophyta; Magnoliopsida; Rosales; Rosaceae
Description: long non-coding RNA (PPER_LNC002459)
Source: RNAcentral
CCCAGCCUGUUUAGUAAACUAUGAGAAAAUCACUUAUUGUUAAAAAUUGUUGUGGGAGAAAGCGAUAAGGGAAAUCAGCUAAUGAGGUGCUUUUCAUAUUUUAGUUUUUUAGUUUUCAUUUGUAAAAAACUGAAAACAAGAAACUUGUUUGGUAACUCUAUUUAAAAGUUGUUUGGUAAUUGUUUUCAUUUUUUAUUUUUUAUUUUUCAUUUUUCAGUUUUCAGUUUUUAGUUUUGUGGAAUUUGGAAAUGAAAUUUUUCUUAGGAUCAAAUUGUUAAUGUGAGAUCAUAGAUUGAAAAUACAUAUAUAAUAAUAAUAAAAAAGAGUUUGUAGCAUUUUUCGUUGAAUUUUUCGGAGUUGGGAUGAAUUUUUAGUGAAUUUUGGAUCUGGAGAUCCCGAGGCUUGGACUGGGUCAGCAUACGAACACAAUAGUCAGGCUGCCAAGUCCAAAUGCAACUAAAAAAUGAAAACCGUUACCAAACAUGUUUUCCGUUUUCAAUUUAAAAAAAAAGAUAGAAAAUUGAAAAAUAAAAUGAUUAUCAAAUGGACCCUCCACGUCUCAAUUUUUCUUUCCUAACUUAGGUGGAAAAUGAUAUAUACUCUACAAUAUUGUCUCCAAAUAAUAAAAACUUUGAAGACCUAGAUUGGGAAAAGAAAGUCGGGUUACCUAACAUUGUCCCAAAAAUAAAAAUCAGAUUGGUUUUAGCAGGUUUAGAAGAAAAAAAAAACAAAUUAUUGGGCUACUUAUGAUGAAUUUGAUGUAGAGAACAUAUUGAUUUUGUUUUUUUAUGGUAGAUUUGAAAAAAAAAACAAAAAACAAACAAAGAAGUGGUUUCGUGGAUAUAAAGUUAAUUCAAUUCAAGCUAUAACUCUAGCAGCUUAUUCGUAGAGAAUUUCCACCCAUUUGUCUAGGCAAAAGACAAGGAGAGGUAAGGGUUGUCCCUAUUCACAUGAAUAGUGUCUUCCCUAGCAAUUUUUUUGUUGGUUUUCCACCCAUUGCCAUGGC